GAGCAAUCAAGACGUGUGGCUUCACUGAGGACCACACUGCAGAGUUCAAGGAGGCCUUCCAGCUGUUUGACUGAACAGAUGAAAUGAAUGUGAAGGUGCUGAACUUUGAGCACUUUCUGCCCAUGCUGCAGAUGGUGGUGGCCAAAAACAAGGACCAGGGCAUCUAUGAGGAUUAUGUCAAAGGACUUAGGUGUUUGACAAGGAAGGAAAUGGCACGGUCAUGGGUGCUGAAAUCUGGCAUAUUCUUGUCACACUGGGUGAGAAGAUGACAGAGGAAGAAGUAGACAUGCUAGGGGCAGGGCACGAGGAUAACAUUGGUUGUAUUAACUAGGAAGAGCUCAUCUGCAUGGUGCCAAAUGGCUGAGGACCUUCCCAGUUUCCCCAGAGCCCAUGUUUUUCCCUGUGUUGGAUUUUUUAUCUGUCCUGAAGGUUCCCUAGACUCUCUUGUCAUAGCACCUUUCCCAUCUUGUCUCUCUUGGAUGAUUUUUGCCGUCGGCAUUCACCAAAUAAACUUGCUGUCUGUGCCCCC
Molecule: long non-coding RNA, 529 nt
Filed under: Homo sapiens (human)
Lineage: Eukaryota; Metazoa; Chordata; Mammalia; Primates; Hominidae
Description: long non-coding RNA NONHSAT157085.1
Source: RNAcentral